GACGAACGCUGACGGCGUGCCUAAUACAUGCAAGUUGAGCGCUGAAGGUUGGUACUUGUACCGACUGGAUGAGCAGCGAACGGGUGAGUAACGCGUGGGGAAUCUGCCUUUGAGCGGGGGACAACAUUUGGAAACGAAUGCUAAUACCGCAUAAAAACUUUAAACACAAGUUUUAAGUUUGAAAGAUGCAAUUGCAUCACUCAAAGAUGAUCCCGCGUUGUAUUAGCUAGUUGGUGAGGUAAAGGCUCACCAAGGCGAUGAUACAUAGCCGACCUGAGAGGGUGAUCGGCCACAUUGGGACUGAGACACGGCCCAAACUCCUACGGGAGGCAGCAGUAGGGAAUCUUCGGCAAUGGAAGAAAGUCUGACCGAGCAACGCCGCGUGAGUGAAGAAGGUUUUCGGAUCGUAAAACUCUGUUGGUAGAGAAGAACGUUGGCGAGAGUGGAAAGCUCAUCAAGUGACGGUAACUACCCAGAAAGGGACGGCUAACUACGUG
Molecule: ribosomal RNA, 497 nt
Filed under: uncultured bacterium
Lineage: Bacteria
Description: partial 16S ribosomal RNA
Rfam family: Bacterial small subunit ribosomal RNA
Source: RNAcentral